CCUACGGGUGGCAGCAGUGAGGAAUAUUGGUCAAUGGCCGGAAGGCUGAACCAGCCAUGCCGCGUGAAGGUCAGUGCCCUAUGGGCGUUAAACUUCUUUUGUGCGGGAGCAAUACUGGUCACGUGUGGCCAGACGAGAGUACCGUACGAAUAAGCAUCGGCUAACUCCGUGCCAGCAGCCGCGGUAAUACGGGGGAUGCAAGCGUUAUCCGGAUUUAUUGGGUUUAAAGGGUGCGUAGGCUGUGCGGUAAGUCAGCGGUGAAAUGCCCCCGCUCAACGGGGUGAAGUGCCAUUGAUACUGCCUGGCUGGAAUGCGGAUGCCGUGGGAGGAAUGUGUGGUGUAGCGGUGAAAUGCAUAGAUAUCACACAGAACACCGAUUGCGAAGGCAUCUCACGAAUCCGCGAUUGACGCUGAUGCACGAAAGCGUGGGUAUCAAACAGGAUUAGAUACCGUGUAGUC
RNAcentral lists this ribosomal RNA (459 nucleotides) under uncultured bacterium. Its description in RNAcentral is "partial 16S ribosomal RNA". It matches the Rfam family "Bacterial small subunit ribosomal RNA", at positions 338 to 795 of the family's 1533-position model. The record is from RNAcentral.